AAGGCUGUAGCUUGGGAUCCUCACGGUGUAGAUGUUAGGGGCUGUGGAGAGAGUCGUCGUGGAGAGUCAUCGUGGGAGGAAAGCUUUGGUUGAAGCUGUGGCAUAGCCAGACUGUGGGAGGGGGGCAAAAGCACAGACUGUAGAGUAGAGAAGAGAGAGGGGCGAGUAGAGAAGAGAGUGGAGCAAGAGCACAAACUGAGUAGAAAAGGGAG
This 212-nucleotide long non-coding RNA is filed under the name Elaeis guineensis (African oil palm). RNAcentral describes it as "long non-coding RNA (EGUI_LNC031091)". The record is from RNAcentral. Lineage: Eukaryota; Viridiplantae; Streptophyta; Magnoliopsida; Arecales; Arecaceae.